CACUAGGAAGCUAUUUGUGCUUUCAGCGUUAGCCUUUUAAGCUAAAGAUUGGUGCCUGCCAACCACCCCUAGUGG
Molecule: transfer RNA, 75 nt
Filed under: Samaris cristatus (cockatoo righteye flounder)
Lineage: Eukaryota; Metazoa; Chordata; Actinopteri; Pleuronectiformes; Samaridae
Description: tRNA-Lys
Source: RNAcentral